GACGAACGCUGGCGGCGUGCCUAAUACAUGCAAGUCGAACGCAGUGGGAGCGGGUGAGUAACACGUGGGUAACCUCCCGUCAGAGGGGAUAACACGUGGCAACAGGUGCUAAACCGCUACUGAUGGAUGGACCCGGGGUGCAUUAGCGAGUGGGGGGGGUAACGGCUCACCAAGGCCACGAUGCAUAGCUGACCGGAGAGGGUGACCGGCCACACUGGAACUGAGACACGGCCCAGACUCCUACGGGAGGCAGCAGUAGGGAAUCUUCGGCAAUGGACGAAAGUCUGACCGAGCCAUGCCGCGUGAGUGAAGAAGGCCUUCGGAUUGUAAAGCUCUGUCGGUGGGGAAGCGGUACCUAACCAGGAAGCACCGGCUAACUCCGUGCCAGCAGCCGCGGUAAUAC
RNAcentral lists this ribosomal RNA (403 nucleotides) under uncultured bacterium. RNAcentral describes it as "partial 16S ribosomal RNA". It matches the Rfam family "Bacterial small subunit ribosomal RNA", at positions 28 to 526 of the family's 1533-position model. The record is from RNAcentral.